RNAcentral lists this transfer RNA (57 nucleotides) under Acinetobacter baumannii 24860_7. RNAcentral's name for it is "partial tRNA-Pro". It matches the Rfam family "tRNA", at positions 2 to 55 of the family's 71-position model. From Rfam's summary of the family: Transfer RNA (tRNA) molecules are approximately 80 nucleotides in length. Their secondary structure includes four short double-helical elements and three loops (D, anti-codon, and T loops). Further hydrogen bonds mediate the characteristic L-shaped molecular structure. tRNAs have two regions of fundamental functional importance: the anti-codon, which is responsible for specific mRNA codon recognition, and the 3' end, to which the tRNAs corresponding amino acid is attached (by aminoacyl-tRNA synthetases). tRNAs cope with the degeneracy of the genetic code in two manners: having more than one tRNA (with a specific anti-codon) for a particular amino acid; and 'wobble' base-pairing, i.e. permitting non-standard base-pairing at the 3rd anti-codon position. The record is from RNAcentral. Lineage: Bacteria; Pseudomonadati; Pseudomonadota; Gammaproteobacteria; Moraxellales; Moraxellaceae.
GGAGCAUAGCACAGCCUGGUAGUGCACCUGGUUUGGGACCAGGGGGUCGUAGGUUCG